GACGAACGCUGGCGGCGUGCCUAAUACAUGCAAGUCGAACGAAGCUGUUUUAACUGGUGCUUGCACCGACUUAAACAACUGAGUGGCGAACGGGUGAGUAACACGUGGGUAACCUGCACCAAAGCGGGGGAUAACAUUUGGAAACAGAUGCUAAUACCGCAUAACCAAAGAAACCACAUGGCUUCUGUGUCAAAGAUGGUUUCGGCGAUAACUUUGGGAUGGACCCGCGGCGUAUUAGCUAGUUGGUAAGGUAAUGGCUUAACAAGGCAAUGAUACGUAGCCGAACUGAGAGGUUGAUCGGCCACAUUGGGACUGAGACACGGCCCUAACUCCUACGGGAGGCAGCAGUAGGGAAUCUUCCACAAUGGACGAAAGUCUGAUGGAGCAACGCCGCGUGAGUGAAGAGGGUUUUCGGAUCGUAAAACUCUGUUGUCAGAGAAGAACGUGUGCGAGAGUAACUGUUCGUGCAGUGACGGUAUCUGGCCAGAAAGCCACGGCUAACUACGUGCCAGCCGCCGCCGUAA
This 524-nucleotide ribosomal RNA is filed under the name uncultured bacterium. Its description in RNAcentral is "partial 16S ribosomal RNA". It matches the Rfam family "Bacterial small subunit ribosomal RNA", at positions 28 to 523 of the family's 1533-position model. The record is from RNAcentral.